UGCGAGGUGCAUAGAGAAACCGCCGCCGCUGCACCACCACGGAUUCGCUGCACGUGCGAGAAGGUGGUGGUGCCGGUGCCGCGCACGCACACGUGCACCGCUCGGAACGUACACGUGUGCACGGGGAACUUACGGGCGAGUGGUGAACCUAGUGAACACCGUGAACGACGACGUCGACGACGACGACGACGACGGCUACGGGGCAGAGUGGCGCGGAGGAGUAAGGAGGAAGGGUCUGUCGCAGCAACGAUGCCUGCCAGCCUGGUUGCAGUGCAGCAGCAGCGGGAGAAUCAACGAUAGUGGGGUGUUGUGCGGACAAGAUGUGGCUCUGACGGCAAUCGUUGGUGAGAAAUAACGCGAGAUUGUACAAAAUAAUAAAGCUGCAGGCCGUGUUAAACGAUAAGAAAAAGAAAAAGAAAACGAAAACGAAAGAAAGAAAGAAAGAAAGAAAGGAAAGGAAAAAUAAAUAAAUAAAAGGAAAUAAUAAUCAAAAGAAAAAUGAACGAGAACGACUGUGUAGAGGAGGGAAACGAGAGAAAAUAAUAGAUAACGAUACGAAUAAAUAAGAAUAAUACUAGAUGAAAAAUAGAGAAACGAAGGAAGGAACAAAACUUCAAACUGAAAUAAACUGAACCGAAUAAACGAAACGAAAAACUAAAGAGUAACUCUCACACUCUCGUCGUCCUGUGGGCUCCGAUACGUAG
This 704-nucleotide unclassified non-coding RNA is filed under the name Athalia rosae (coleseed sawfly). Its description in RNAcentral is "misc RNA ENSAEAG00005012976.1". The record is from RNAcentral. Lineage: Eukaryota; Metazoa; Arthropoda; Insecta; Hymenoptera; Athaliidae.